Molecule: ribosomal RNA, 905 nt
Filed under: uncultured marine archaeon
Lineage: Archaea
Description: bacterial SSU rRNA
Rfam family: Archaeal small subunit ribosomal RNA
Source: RNAcentral
UGGUUGAUCCCGCCGGAGGCUACCGCUAUUGGAGUUCGAUUAAGCCAUGCGAGUCGCGAGAAAUUAGAUUCUCGGCGUACCGCUCAGUAACACGUGGGUAACCUGCCCUAUGCUGGAUAAUAACCUCGGGAAACUGAGAAUAAUGAUCCAUAGUUCACUACGCCUGGAACGGUGAGUGGAUGAAAGCUCCGGCGGCAUAGGAUGGGCCUGCGGCGUAUCAGGUUGUAGGGGGUGUAACGUACCCUCUAGCCCUCUACGCGUACGGGUGUUGGGAGACAUAGCCCGGAGAUGGAUUCUGAGACACGAAUCCAGACCCUACGGGGUGCAGCAGGCGCGAAAACUUGGCAAUGCGAGAAAUCGUGACCAGGGAACUCCAAGUGCAUCGGGUAAGACCGGUGCUUUUCUUGACUCUAAAUAGGUCUUGGAAUAAGGGGUGGGUAAGGACGGUGCCAGCCGCCGCGGUAAUACCGGCGCCUCAAGUGGUAGUCGCUUUUAUUGGGCCUAAAACGUCCGUAGCCGGUCUGAUACAUUCGUGGGUAAAUCAACCAGCUUAACUGGUUGAAUUCUGCGAGGACGGUCAGACUUGGGACCGGGAGAGGUGUGGGGUACGCUCAGGGUAGGGGUAAAAUCCUGUCAUCCUGAGCGGACCACCUGUUGCGAAGGCGCCACACUAGAACGGAUCCGACGGUCAGGGACGAAGCCUAGGGGCACGAACCGGAUUAGAUACCCGGGUAGUCCUAGGUGUAAACGCUGUGGACUUGAUGUUGGAGGAGCUCCGAGCUCUUUCAGUGUCGAAGCGAAGGUGAUAAGUCCACUGCCUGGGAAGUACGGUCGCAAGGCUGAAACUUAAAGGAAUUGGCGGGGGAGCACCGCAACCUGAGGAUUGUGCGGUUUAAUUGGAGUCA